RNAcentral lists this ribosomal RNA (612 nucleotides) under Hydraena duodecimata. RNAcentral's name for it is "partial 16S ribosomal RNA". It matches the Rfam family "Bacterial large subunit ribosomal RNA", at positions 1830 to 2725 of the family's 2925-position model. The record is from RNAcentral. Lineage: Eukaryota; Metazoa; Arthropoda; Insecta; Coleoptera; Hydraenidae.
GUCCUUUAGAUUAUAAUUUAAGGUCUAACCUGCCCACUGAUAUAAUUAAAUGGCCGCAGUAUUUUAACUGUGCAAAGGUAGCAUAAUCAUUAGUUUCUUAAUUAGAAGCUGGAAUGAAUGGUUGAACGAGAAAUUAACUGUCUCUAUUUAUUAAUUAAAAUUUUAUUUUUAAGUCAAAAAGCUUAAAUUUAUUUAAAAGACGAGAAGACCCUAUAGAGUUUUAUAAUUAUUUAAAUUUUUAUUAUAGAAUAUUUUUUAUUAAAAUAAUUAUUUUAUUGGGGUGAUAUAUAAAUUAAAGUAACUUUAUAUUUUUUUAUACAUAAAUUUAUGAAUUUUUGAUCCAUAGUUGAUGAUUAAAAGAAAAAAUUACCUUAGGGAUAACAGCGUUAUUUUUUUUUAGAGUUCUAAUCGAAAAAAAAGAUUGCGACCUCGAUGUUGGAUUAAAGUUAAUUUUUGGUGUAGAAGCUAAAAAAUUAGGUCUGUUCGACCUUUAAAACUUUACAUGAUCUGAGUUUAAACCGGCGUGAGCCAGGUUGGUUUCUAUCUUUAAAAAAUUUGAAUAUUUUAGUACGAAAGGACCAAAUAUUCUUAAAAUUUAAUUUAUAUUGAAUA